This 2904-nucleotide ribosomal RNA is filed under the name Escherichia coli. RNAcentral's name for it is "23S ribosomal RNA". It matches the Rfam family "Bacterial large subunit ribosomal RNA". Lineage: Bacteria; Pseudomonadati; Pseudomonadota; Gammaproteobacteria; Enterobacterales; Enterobacteriaceae. RNAcentral also lists the same sequence under 2 other names. The record is from RNAcentral.
GGUUAAGCGACUAAGCGUACACGGUGGAUGCCCUGGCAGUCAGAGGCGAUGAAGGACGUGCUAAUCUGCGAUAAGCGUCGGUGAGGUGAUAUGAACCGUUAUAACCGGCGAUUUCCGAAUGGGGAAACCCAGUGUGAUUCGUCACACUAUCAUUAACUGAAUCCAUAGGUUAAUGAGGCGAACCGGGGGAACUGAAACAUCUAAGUACCCCGAGGAAAAGAAAUCAACCGAGAUUCCCCCAGUAGCGGCGAGCGAACGGGGAGGAGCCCAGAGCCUGAAUCAGUGUGUGUGUUAGUGGAAGCGUCUGGAAAGGCGCGCGAUACAGGGUGACAGCCCCGUACACAAAAAUGCACAUAUUGUGAGCUCGAUGAGUAGGGCGGGACACGUGGUAUCCUGUCUGAAUAUGGGGGGACCAUCCUCCAAGGCUAAAUACUCCUGACUGACCGAUAGUGAACCAGUACCGUGAGGGAAAGGCGAAAAGAACCCCGGCGAGGGGAGUGAAAAAGAACCUGAAACCGUGUACGUACAAGCAGUGGGAGCCUCUUUUAUGGGGUGACUGCGUACCUUUUGUAUAAUGGGUCAGCGACUUAUAUUCUGUAGCAAGGUUAACCGAAUAGGGGAGCCGAAGGGAAACCGAGUCUUAACUGGGCGUUAAGUUGCAGGGUAUAGACCCGAAACCCGGUGAUCUAGCCAUGGGCAGGUUGAAGGUUGGGUAACACUAACUGGAGGACCGAACCGACUAAUGUUGAAAAAUUAGCGGAUGACUUGUGGCUGGGGGUGAAAGGCCAAUCAAACCGGGAGAUAGCUGGUUCUCCCCGAAAGCUAUUUAGGUAGCGCCUCGUGAAUUCAUCUCCGGGGGUAGAGCACUGUUUCGGCAAGGGGGUCAUCCCGACUUACCAACCCGAUGCAAACUGCGAAUACCGGAGAAUGUUAUCACGGGAGACACACGGCGGGUGCUAACGUCCGUCGUGAAGAGGGAAACAACCCAGACCGCCAGCUAAGGUCCCAAAGUCAUGGUUAAGUGGGAAACGAUGUGGGAAGGCCCAGACAGCCAGGAUGUUGGCUUAGAAGCAGCCAUCAUUUAAAGAAAGCGUAAUAGCUCACUGGUCGAGUCGGCCUGCGCGGAAGAUGUAACGGGGCUAAACCAUGCACCGAAGCUGCGGCAGCGACGCUUAUGCGUUGUUGGGUAGGGGAGCGUUCUGUAAGCCUGUGAAGGUGUGCUGUGAGGCAUGCUGGAGGUAUCAGAAGUGCGAAUGCUGACAUAAGUAACGAUAAAGCGGGUGAAAAGCCCGCUCGCCGGAAGACCAAGGGUUCCUGUCCAACGUUAAUCGGGGCAGGGUGAGUCGACCCCUAAGGCGAGGCCGAAAGGCGUAGUCGAUGGGAAACAGGUUAAUAUUCCUGUACUUGGUGUUACUGCGAAGGGGGGACGGAGAAGGCUAUGUUGGCCGGGCGACGGUUGUCCCGGUUUAAGCGGGUAGGCUGGUUUUCCAGGCAAAUCCGGAAAAUCAAGGCUGAGGCGUGAUGACGAGGCACUACGGUGCUGAAGCAACAAAUGCCCUGCUUCCAGGAAAAGCCUCUAAGCAUCAGGUAACAUCAAAUCGUACCCCAAACCGACACAGGUGGUCAGGUAGAGAAUACCAAGGCGCUUGAGAGAACUCGGGUGAAGGAACUAGGCAAAAUGGUGCCGUAACUUCGGGAGAAGGCACGCUGAUAUGUAGGUGAAGCGACUUGCUCGUGGAGCUGAAAUCAGUCGAAGAUACCAGCUGGCUGCAACUGUUUAUUAAAAACACAGCACUGUGCAAACACGAAAGUGGACGUAUACGGUGUGACGCCUGCCCGGUGCCGGAAGGUUAAUUGAUGGGGUCAGCGCAAGCGAAGCUCUUGAUCGAAGCCCCGGUAAACGGCGGCCGUAACUAUAACGGUCCUAAGGUAGCGAAAUUCCUUGUCGGGUAAGUUCCGACCUGCACGAAUGGCGUAAUGAUGGCCAGGCUGUCUCCACCCGAGACUCAGUGAAAUUGAACUCGCUGUGAAGAUGCAGUGUACCCGCGGCAAGACGGAAAGACCCCGUGAACCUUUACUAUAGCUUGACACUGAACAUUGAGCCUUGAUGUGUAGGAUAGGUGGGAGGCUUAGAAGUGUGGACGCCAGUCUGCAUGGAGCCGACCUUGAAAUACCACCCUUUAAUGUUUGAUGUUCUAACGUGGACCCGUGAUCCGGGUUGCGGACAGUGUCUGGUGGGUAGUUUGACUGGGGCGGUCUCCUCCUAAAGAGUAACGGAGGAGCACGAAGGUUGGCUAAUCCUGGUCGGACAUCAGGAGGUUAGUGCAAUGGCAUAAGCCAGCUUGACUGCGAGCGUGACGGCGCGAGCAGGUGCGAAAGCAGGUCAUAGUGAUCCGGUGGUUCUGAAUGGAAGGGCCAUCGCUCAACGGAUAAAAGGUACUCCGGGGAUAACAGGCUGAUACCGCCCAAGAGUUCAUAUCGACGGCGGUGUUUGGCACCUCGAUGUCGGCUCAUCACAUCCUGGGGCUGAAGUAGGUCCCAAGGGUAUGGCUGUUCGCCAUUUAAAGUGGUACGCGAGCUGGGUUUAGAACGUCGUGAGACAGUUCGGUCCCUAUCUGCCGUGGGCGCUGGAGAACUGAGGGGGGCUGCUCCUAGUACGAGAGGACCGGAGUGGACGCAUCACUGGUGUUCGGGUUGUCAUGCCAAUGGCACUGCCCGGUAGCUAAAUGCGGAAGAGAUAAGUGCUGAAAGCAUCUAAGCACGAAACUUGCCCCGAGAUGAGUUCUCCCUGACUCCUUGAGAGUCCUGAAGGAACGUUGAAGACGACGACGUUGAUAGGCCGGGUGUGUAAGCGCAGCGAUGCGUUGAGCUAACCGGUACUAAUGAACCGUGAGGCUUAACCUU